Molecule: small RNA, 352 nt
Filed under: Mustela putorius furo (domestic ferret)
Lineage: Eukaryota; Metazoa; Chordata; Mammalia; Carnivora; Mustelidae
Description: 7SK RNA (ENSMPUG00000020953.1)
Rfam family: 7SK RNA
About the family: 7SK was discovered as an abundant small nuclear RNA in the mid-70s but a possible function has only recently been suggested. Two independent studies have found that 7SK RNA binds the CDK9/cyclin T complex (known as elongation factor P-TEFb).
Source: RNAcentral
GGAUGUGAGGGCGAUCUGGCUGCGACAUCUGUCACCCCAUUGAUCGCCAGGGUUGAUUCGGCUGAUCUGGCUGGCUAGGCGGGUGUCCCCUUCCUCCCUCACCGCUCCAUGUGCGUCCCUCCCGAAGCUGCGCGCUCGGUCGUCGAAGAGGACGACCUUCCCCGAUAGAGGAGAGGACCGUUCUUCGGUCAAGGGUAUACGAGUAGCUGCGCUCCCCUGCUAGAACCUCCAAAUAAGCUCUCAAGACACUGGUUUUGUCUUUUUUUCCCUGAAGUUCUUUUCUGGUUUGAUAAUGAUUUUCCUAAUUCCUUAUUCCCACCUCUAAACAUAAAUAAGUUCAAAGUUCUGUUUU